This 368-nucleotide ribosomal RNA is filed under the name uncultured organism. Its description in RNAcentral is "bacterial SSU rRNA". It matches the Rfam family "Bacterial small subunit ribosomal RNA", at positions 526 to 896 of the family's 1533-position model. The record is from RNAcentral.
CGGAGGGUGCAAGCGUUAUCCGGAUUCACUGGGUCUAAAGGGUGCGUAGGUGGGUUGGUAAGUCAGUGGUGAAAUCCCCGAGCUUAACUUGGGAACUGCCAUUGAUACUAUCAGUCUUGAAUACCGUGGAGGUCAGCGGAAUAUGUCAUGUAGCGGUGAAAUGCUUAGAUAUGACAUAGAACACCAAUUGCGAAGGCAGCUGGCUACACGAAUAUUGACACUGAGGCACGAAAGCGUGGGGAUCAAACAGGAUUAGAUACCCUGGUAGUCCACGCCCUAAACUAUGGAUACUCGACAUACGCGAUACACUGUGUGUGUCUGAGCGAAAGCACUAAGUAUCCCACCUGGGAAGUACGAUCGCAAGAUUG